RNAcentral lists this transfer RNA (69 nucleotides) under Rattus norvegicus (Norway rat). It matches the Rfam family "tRNA". Rfam says of the family: Transfer RNA (tRNA) molecules are approximately 80 nucleotides in length. Their secondary structure includes four short double-helical elements and three loops (D, anti-codon, and T loops). Lineage: Eukaryota; Metazoa; Chordata; Mammalia; Rodentia; Muridae. The record is from Rfam by way of RNAcentral.
GGGGAUUUAGCUCAGUGGUAGAGUGCAUGCCUAGCAAGCACAAGGCCCUGGGUUCAGUCCCCAGCUCCG